RNAcentral lists this ribosomal RNA (252 nucleotides) under uncultured bacterium. RNAcentral describes it as "partial 16S ribosomal RNA". It matches the Rfam family "Bacterial small subunit ribosomal RNA", at positions 524 to 775 of the family's 1533-position model. The record is from RNAcentral.
UACGUAGGGUGCAAGCGUUAAUCGGAAUUACUGGGCGUAAAGCGUGCGCAGGCGGUUAUAUAAGACAGUUGUGAAAUCCCCGGGCUCAACCUGGGAACUGCAUCUGUGACUGUAUAGCUAGAGUACGGUAGAGGGGGAUGGAAUUCCGCGUGUAGCAGUGAAAUGCGUAGAUAUGCGGAGGAACACCGAUGGCGAAGGCAAUCCCCUGGACCUGUACUGACGCUCAUGCACGAAAGCGUGGGGAGCAAACAG